This 77-nucleotide transfer RNA is filed under the name Natronospira proteinivora. RNAcentral's name for it is "tRNA-Arg". It matches the Rfam family "tRNA". From Rfam's summary of the family: Transfer RNA (tRNA) molecules are approximately 80 nucleotides in length. RNAcentral also lists the same sequence under 5 other names. The record is from RNAcentral. Lineage: Bacteria; Pseudomonadati; Pseudomonadota; Gammaproteobacteria; Natronospirales; Natronospiraceae.
GCCCCGGUAGCUCAGCAGGAUAGAGCAGCCGCCUCCUAAGCGGCAGGUCGCAGGUUCGACUCCUGCCCGGGGCGCCA